CAAUAGCGUAUAUUAAAGUUGUUGCAGUUAAAAAGCUCGUAGUUGGAUUUGUGGCGUACGGUGUGUUCCGGGCACUUGUUGUCUGAGUAACCUGCUGUUGCCAUCCUUGGGUGGAACCUGUGUGGCAUUAGGUUGUCGUGCAGGGGAUGCCCAUCAUUUACUGUGAAAAAAUUAGAGUGUUCAGAGCAGGCUUAUGCCGUUGAAUAUAUUAGCAUGGAAUAAUGAGAUAGGACUUUCUUGCUAUUUUGUUGGUUUGCGCAAAGAGGUAAUGAUUAAUAGGGACAGUUGGGGGUAUUCGUAUUCCAUUGUCAGAGGUGAAAUUCUUGGAUUUUUGGAAGACGAACUACUGCGAAAGCAUUUACCAAGGAUGUUUUCAUUAA
RNAcentral lists this ribosomal RNA (380 nucleotides) under uncultured eukaryote. RNAcentral describes it as "partial 18S ribosomal RNA". It matches the Rfam family "Eukaryotic small subunit ribosomal RNA", at positions 592 to 976 of the family's 1831-position model. The record is from RNAcentral.